This 538-nucleotide ribosomal RNA is filed under the name bacterium. RNAcentral describes it as "bacterial SSU rRNA". It matches the Rfam family "Bacterial small subunit ribosomal RNA", at positions 57 to 611 of the family's 1533-position model. The record is from RNAcentral.
GCAAGUCGAACGGUAAGGCCCCUUCGGGGGUACACGAGUGGCGAACGGGUGAGUAACACGUGGGUAAUCUGCCCUGCACUUCGGGAUAAGCCUGGGAAACCGGGUCUAAUACCGGAUAUGAACUCCUGCCGCAUGGUGGGGGUUGGAAAGUUUUUCGGUGCAGGAUGAGCCCGCGGCCUAUCAGCUUGUUGGUGGGGUAAUGGCCUACCAAGGCGACGACGGGUAGCCGGCCUGAGAGGGUGAUCGGCCACACUGGGACUGAGACACGGCCCAGACUCCUACGGGAGGCAGCAGUGGGGAAUAUUGCACAAUGGGCGAAAGCCUGAUGCAGCGACGCCGCGUGGGGGAUGACGGUCUUCGGAUUGUAAACCCCUUUCAGUAGGGACGAAGCGCAAGUGACGGUACCUGCAGAAGAAGCACCGGCUAACUACGUGCCAGCAGCCGCGGUAAUACGUAGGGUGCGAGCGUUGUCCGGAAUUACUGGGCGUAAAGAGCUCGUAGGCGGUUUGUCACGUCGUCUGUGAAAUCCCUCGGCUUA